This 483-nucleotide ribosomal RNA is filed under the name uncultured bacterium. RNAcentral describes it as "partial 16S ribosomal RNA". It matches the Rfam family "Bacterial small subunit ribosomal RNA", at positions 29 to 523 of the family's 1533-position model. The record is from RNAcentral.
AAUGAACGUUGGCGGCGUGGAUUAGGCAUGCGAGUCGAGCGAGAACCGUAGCAAUACGGGGACAGCGGCGAAAGGGAGAGUAAUGUGUGGAUAUCUACCUCCAGGCCUGGGACAACUACGGGAAACUGUAGCUAAUACCAGAUAAUGUCUGCGGACCAAAGGUGUGAUUCCUCCGGGAGAUGAGUCCACAUCCUAUUAGCUAGUUGGUAGGGUAAUGGCCUACCAAGGCAAUGAUGGGUAGCAGGUGUGAGAGCACGACCUGCCUCAUCGGGACUGAGACACUGCCCAGACACCUACGGGUGGCUGCAUGCGAGAAUCUUCGGCAAUGGGCGCAAGCCUGACCGAGCGAUGCCGCGUGCGGGAUGAAGGCCUUCGGGUUGUAAACCGCUGUCAGAGGGGAUGAAAUACGUCGGGGGUUCUCCCCCGAGUUUGACAUAUCCUCAGAGGAAGGACGGGCUAAGUUCGUGCCAGCAGCCGCCGUAA